UACAGAGGGGGCAAGCGUUGUUCGGAAUUACUGGGCGUAAAGGGCGCGCAGGCGGCCUGUUAAGUCGGACGUGAAAUCCCUGGGCUCAACCCAGGAACUGCGUCCGAUACUGGCAGGCUUGAAUUCGGGAGAGGGAUGCGGAAUUCCAGGUGUAGCGGUGAAAUGCGUAGAUAUCUGGAGGAAUACCGGUGGCGAAGGCGGCAUCCUGGACCGAGAUUGACGCUGAACGGCGAAAGCUAGGGGAGCAAACGGG
This 253-nucleotide ribosomal RNA is filed under the name uncultured bacterium. RNAcentral describes it as "partial 16S ribosomal RNA". It matches the Rfam family "Bacterial small subunit ribosomal RNA", at positions 524 to 776 of the family's 1533-position model. The record is from RNAcentral.